Molecule: ribosomal RNA, 508 nt
Filed under: uncultured bacterium
Lineage: Bacteria
Description: partial 16S ribosomal RNA
Rfam family: Bacterial small subunit ribosomal RNA
Source: RNAcentral
AUUGAACGCUGGCGGCAGGCCUAACACACGCAAGUCGAGCGGCAGCGGAAAAGUAGCUUGCUACCUUUGCCGGCGAGCGGCGGACGGGUGAGUAAUGCCUGGGGAUCUGCCCAGUCGAGGGGGAUAACUACCGGAAACGGUAGCUAAUACCGCAUACGCCCUACGGGGGAAAGCAGGGGACCUUCGGGCCUUGCGCGAUUGGAUGAACCCAGGUGGGAUGAGCUAGUUGGUGAGGUAAUAGCUCACCAAGGCGACGAUCCCUAGCUGGUCUGGGAGGAUGAUCAGCCACACUGGAACUGAGACACGGUCCAGACUCCUACGGGAGGCAGCAGUGGGGAAUAUUGCACAAUGGGGAAAACCCUGAUGCAGCCAUGCCGCGUGUGUGAAGAAGGCCUUCGGGUUGUAAAGCACUUUCAGCGAGGAGGAAAGGUCAGUAGCUAAUAUCUGCUGGCUGUGACGUUACUCGCAGAAGAAGCACCGGCUAACUCCGUGCCAGCCGCCGCCGUAA